Molecule: ribosomal RNA, 500 nt
Filed under: uncultured bacterium
Lineage: Bacteria
Description: partial 16S ribosomal RNA
Rfam family: Bacterial small subunit ribosomal RNA
Source: RNAcentral
AUUGAACGCUGGCGGCAUGCCUUACACAUGCAAGUCGAACGGCAGCACGGGAGCAAUCCUGGUGGCGAGUGGCGAACGGGUGAGUAAAGUAUCGGAACGUGCCCAGUCGUGGGGGAUAACGUAGCGAAAGUUACGCUAAUACCGCAUACGAUCUAUGGAUGAAAGCGGGGGAUCGCAAGACCUCGCGCGAUUGGAGCGGCCGAUAUCAGAUUAGGUAGUUGGUGGGGUAAAGGCUCACCAAGCCGACGAUCUGUAGCUGGUCUGAGAGGACGACCAGCCACACUGGGACUGGGACACGGCCCAGACUCCGACGGGAGGCAGCAGUGGGGAAUUUUGGACAAUGGGCGAAAGCCUGAUCCAGCCAUGCCGCGUGCAGGAUGAAGGCCUUCGGGUUGUAAACUGCUUUUGUACGGAACGAAAAGGUUUGGCCUAAUAAGCUGAGCUCAUGACGGUACCGUAAGAAUAAGCACCGGCUAACUACGUGCCAGCCGCCGCGGUAA